Non-coding RNA from Coturnix japonica (Japanese quail), 2083 nucleotides. The record is from RefSeq and is a predicted model, not a curated record. Lineage: Eukaryota; Metazoa; Chordata; Aves; Galliformes; Phasianidae.
GCGGAGGGUGGGAGCAGCCGCCAUGUCGGGUGGUGGUCUCAGCUCUGGGUUUCCGUGCUUAUCUCCCCUCUGUUUAUAGCUAUUCCUCGUGUUGAGCUCGCUGCAUGUUAAGCGGUGUGGAAACGAUCUCUUCUGACCCGCCCGGGUGCCCUGAAGCCGGGGGUGGAGGUGUUGUGAGGCGCCUGGUGCCCCGGCCGCCAUUUCGCGGUGCAGCUGAUGCAGGUUGAGGCCCCGCCGCCCCAUGGAGCUCCUCCAGCAGGGGAUGGCUGCUGUGUCCGCUCACCCUCACAGCGAUAAGUGAGACUCACACAGGUUUUCCUGCCAGACACAACAUUAAACUGAUCACAGCCAUGUUGUAACUGAAGCAGGAACCUCAGACCUGAUGGCAGUAGCAGAUUUAGAGAUAAAAGCACCAAACAAUUAUGUGGUUGCUUCACAAAACAAGAUUGUGUCAAAUAGCACGCAAACAUCCUAUCCCUUCCUGAAGUUGGGUACUUCUGCAGCCUCCACCAUUUGUCUUUAUACAUUAUUACAUCAGAACAAAAAUCCUACUUUAAACUUUGACCAACAAGUUAGGACAGAAUUUUGGUAAUUGCAAUAGAAUUCCAAGUACAUCUACAUUUAACUCCAAUGUACAUUACUAAAAUGAAUGUUCUCAGUUCUCCAGACAAAUAACUGCCAUACCAUUAGUGGAUUCCCUGGCUGAGUUGUUUCAGGCAGGAUUUAAUCAAAGGAAAUACCAGCCUGUCUGUUUGAGACAAGGCGAACUGGUAUAGGAGCUUCAGUAACAGCACUGUCACUGCAACUAGAAUGAAGUGCAAAACUAAAUCCCAUUCUAAACACAUUAAAUGUAUUUUAAUAUCACGAAACAAACAUAUAUCACAGUGAAUCCACACUUCUGCUCAUUCUGUAGGCACACUGUGGCUACCUACAAGUCAGCAUUCUCCAAAAUAAAUUUUGCACAGAUUCUUUCUUUUUGUAAGAUCUGUCACCAUUAGUUUCAGGACAAAAACCAUGAAAAAUUACAUCUCUUCCUUUGGGAAGUGAGAAUUUCCUAAUAACAGACAUCAUUUUGCUUUAAAAAAAUCCCCUGAAAUGAAUUUCGUGAUUCUCCUUUAUGUGUUGCACUUUUUCAGCUCAAGAAUAACGAAGUGACCCACUGAAGAAAGCAAAUAAUCCUCCCUGAAUGAACUUUGACUACCCACCUACCCACCUUAUACACCAUGUUUAGAGUCCAAGUUGUUAUUAAAAUGGGAAACUUAGACAUCAGUCUUUAACCUCAGUAACACAGCACUGAAAAACACUGGAAAAGGCUUCACUUUAAGUUUUGUAGGCAGCACAUCUACAAAGCCAAUUCUCAGGUUCUUAUACACGGCAUUGAAGUGGGACAUUUGACUGUAUUUCUCCAAGAAACAGUGGCAUGGCAUCACUCUUAAGUGCAGCACUUUACAAAAGCACAGAAACAUUUUAAGAAAAGCAAUGUAAAAGCUGCUAGACAUUUGAGCUGGCUUAAGGCUUUGACAUUUUAGAAAGCAGUAGUAAGUGCUUUCCUUCCAAUAGCAGAAAAUAAUAACUUGAUGAUUAGAGUCCAUCCAAGCAAAGGAGCACAGGCAGACAGGACAUUUUCUUUGGUGAAGGAAAAUGUACUGCCUUCUUUCUCUGUUCUCUGCUGGUAUUUAUAACCUGAACUAACAGAAAACUAACAUAAAAAUACUUCCAGAAUCUUUCUGAAAAUCCCAAGCUGCUACUUCAGAGCUUGUGUGCUCUGUAUUUCCUUUUGGGAAUUUAAACAGAGUCAGAUAAGAUAACGGGGAGGAAAUCUGAUGGAGGGAAAACAACAUUAGCCAAUUAAGAUCUGAAUACAAAAGUUAUCUUAAAACAGACCUUAUAUGUUUCUGUUUGUUUUAUAAUGCAAUCAUUAAUGAAAGGUAAGACUGCAAGUGUGGCACUGAGCCCAAGCUAAUAUAGACUGAUGAUCUGAAGCUCCAGCUCAUUCUACUGCAAUCAAAAGAUUUUAUAAAGACCAGAACGUGAAAGUAGAAAGAUUUAUUAUUUCAAAGAUUAUUAUUUUAAAGAAAGAAUC